Long non-coding RNA from Xenia sp. Carnegie-2017, 335 nucleotides. RefSeq lists it as uncharacterized. The record is from RefSeq and is a predicted model, not a curated record. NCBI's taxonomy places the organism in Eukaryota, Metazoa, Cnidaria, Anthozoa, Malacalcyonacea, Xeniidae. The transcript has 2 exons.
CAACAAGGACGAAGAUAGGAGGCAAGUCUGUAUGUGAAGUUUGGGAUGACGCCGCAGACAGGAAAUAUGAUUACACCUGUGGUCAAUUGAUUGGUGGAAUCGUCUCUGGUUUUAUUGCCGCCAUAUUGUAUGGAGUGGAUGCUAUUUUCACUUUCAAAACUUCUACGGAACAGAGUUAACAUGGAAGCAAAUUUAUCGCAUUUAGUCCUCAACCAACAAACAAAAAUUAAUAUUUUUGUGUCAUUUAGGUUAUUAUAACAUUUUCAUGUAAAGUAACUGUUACAUCAUUAAGCAUGCAAUUGAAUAAAAAUAAGAAUUUUCGUCCUUGCUGUUGA